Molecule: ribosomal RNA, 578 nt
Filed under: uncultured bacterium
Lineage: Bacteria
Description: partial 16S ribosomal RNA
Rfam family: Bacterial small subunit ribosomal RNA
Source: RNAcentral
UGGGGAAUUUUGGACAAUGGGCGAAAGCCUGAUCCAGCAAUGCCGCGUGUGUGAAGAAGGCCUUCGGGUUGUAAAGCACUUUUGUCCGGAAAGAAAUCCUUGGCUCUAAUACAGUCGGGGGAUGACGGUACCGGAAGAAUAAGCACCGGCUAACUACGUGCCAGCAGCCGCGGUAAUACGUAGGGUGCAAGCGUUAAUCGGAAUUACUGGGCGUAAAGCGUGCGCAGGCGGUUUGCUAAGACCGAUGUGAAAUCCCCGGGCUCAACCUGGGAACUGCAUUGGUGACUGGCAGGCUAGAGUAUGGCAGAGGGGGGUAGAAUUCCACGUAUAGCAGUGAAAUGCGUAGAGAUGUGGAGGAAUACCGAUGGCGAAGGCAGCCCCCUGGGCCAAUACUGACGCUCAUGCACGAAAGCGUGGGGAGCAAACAGGAUUAGAUACCCUGGUAGUCCACGCCCUAAACGAUGUCAACUAGUUGUUGGGGAUUCAUUUCCUUAGUAACGUAGCUAACGCGUGAAGUUGACCGCCUGGGGAGUACGGUCGCAAGAUUAAAACUCAAUGAAUUGACGGGGUCAUAGCUG